CGAGCGGAUGAAGGGAGCUUGCUCCUGGAUUCAGCGGCGGACGGGUGAGUAAUGCCUAGGAAUCUGCCUGGUAGUGGGGGAUAACGUCCGGAAACGGGCGCUAAUACCGCAUACGUCCUGAGAGAGAAAGUGGGGGAUCUUCGGACCUCACGCUAUCAGAUGAGCCUAGGUCGGAUUAGCUAGUUGGUGGGGUAAAGGCCUACCAAGGCGACGACGGGUAGCUGGUCUGAGAGGAUGAUCAGUCACACUGGAACUGAGACACGGCCCAGACUCC
This 274-nucleotide ribosomal RNA is filed under the name uncultured bacterium. RNAcentral describes it as "partial 16S ribosomal RNA". It matches the Rfam family "Bacterial small subunit ribosomal RNA", at positions 63 to 339 of the family's 1533-position model. The record is from RNAcentral.